This is a long non-coding RNA of Hyalella azteca, 541 nucleotides long. RefSeq lists it as uncharacterized. The transcript is spliced from 3 exons. The record is from RefSeq and is a predicted model, not a curated record. Lineage: Eukaryota; Metazoa; Arthropoda; Malacostraca; Amphipoda; Hyalellidae.
CCCAGUUACCGAGUGCGGUAUUUUACUCGUAGGUACCAAAGGCCGCAAGAAAGGCAGCAGCGCGGUAGUUUUCUGGUAUCUGAGCAAACACUUAGCACUAAACUCAGUAUCCAACUCACAUUCUGUCCCUAUAAUUAUGACUUGUAGCAAAUCCUGCCUAGCGGUGUCCCAGUUACCGAGUGCGGUGUUUUACUCGUAGGUACAAAAGGCCGCAAGAAAGACAGCAGCGCGUGGAAGCCUCCCGCCUUCAACACGGAGCUGCCCUCUAACUUGACGGUCCUCGAGGGCGAGACGGCUACCCUUACGUGCGAGGUUACGAGGCUCCGGGGCCGAGCGGUUUCAUGGAUACGGCAAAGAGAUCUCCAUGUAAUUUCCGCCGACAAUCUCAUCUUCACCACUGACAGCAGGUUCCAAGUUGAGGUUGACAACACUACGUCUGCCUGGCGGUUGGUGGUGACGCCUGCGCUGCGUAAUGACUCCGGCGCGUACGAGUGUCAGGUCAACACCAGGCCUAAGCUGUCAUGGACCGUCACUCUCAACG